Molecule: long non-coding RNA, 2751 nt
Organism: Lates calcarifer (barramundi perch)
Lineage: Eukaryota; Metazoa; Chordata; Actinopteri; Centropomidae
Exons: 2
Source: RefSeq, a predicted model, not a curated record
AGUGUCUGGGUGUCUGUACCCUAAAUUCAGUUUUAUUUAAGCAUUUGGACCUUAUGGAGAGAACACAAGUAUGACUGCUGAGAAAUAUCACAGGCAGGAGUCAUCAGUCUGUGCCUGAUUAGCUUUUGUCUGCUGAACAUUCAAUACAGAGGAGGAGAAGGUCGAAGUCUGGGAAGCAACUCUGAGCCUAAUUAAAUUCAAGGUUAGGCUUUUGUAGUGAUUAAUUAGGACUCAACUAAUUAGAAAUUCUCUAAUAAGCUGUCGGGGCAGAGUAGUGAUGUCGUCUUUAAACUAAAAGCCUGAGGUUGAAAGGCGCCAUGCUGAGGAGUACUCUGCCACCUCCAAAGACCUGCUGUAGAGGAAAAAUGCUCUCUAGCCUUUGUGUGAAACUGCAAACAGACGCCGGCUGCAGUAACAACCACAGCUACAGAAAAUAGCCACAAGUUAAAAUGUUGGUGCAGAGAUACACCCACAGUCGGCGGGCAGAGAUAAGAGACCUUCUGAGAAGACUCCACCGCUGGGUCAGCAUGAGGUCAUGUAUGCCCUCCCAAACACAGUGUGAUCAGGGAGGGGAGGGGAGGGGAGGGGAGGAGGGGUGAGGGUGAAAGAGGAAGAAAAACUCAGAUGGUCAUUUUUGGCUGCAAAAUGCAAACUUUGCAUAAGGACAACCUUUCAACCCGUUGUCUGCAGUGGUCAACAUGUGCAGGUCUACGUCUGCAGUUUUUGUGGCUUUUAUUCUUUCUGCAUGCUUUUCAAUAUCUUACAGAAAUAACAACCACUGCUGGCAUAUUUAUUCAGCUGUACCUAAUUAGGGUUAAUUCCAUAAGUUGGCCAGUUGGAAAGAAGAGGCCACUGUCUGUUUAGAGCCCUAUCCACAGUGUAGGCUCAACCAAAGAAGGCCUCUUAUCACAUUUCAAGCAAGUGAUCGUAAAGUCCAAAACAGAUGUAGCCGACUGUGUCCCAUUAUUUUCAAGUAGUGUGCAACAUAAUCCCCAUGUGCAAAUGAAAACUAGCCAAUUAGGAAUAGUGGUAAUAGUGUAAAUUUUUUUUUAACUUUGCUCAGUUUAAACUGUGUAUUUACAGGCUUAAGCUUAUUCAGAAAACAUGAACCUUCAAGCUCUAUUAGAUGUCUUAGCUCAGCUUAGCUUAGUUUCCAUAAUAUUUUGAGUGAUGUAAAAAGAGAUUAAAAUGUUACCAUGGAACCAGUGAGUUAGCUUUGGGCUACACCUGCGCCUCAUGUCUUUAGGCUGUAUGUGUUUAUAUUCUGAUGAAUCUGCAGACCUGCUAUACUGAUGGAAACUGGCAAAAGCUCUAAAUCACAACCUUAAGUCAGUCUGUGAAGCUAAUAUUAGCUCAGACAGCUAUGGUAUAAGCAGAGCUGUCAAUAGUAUCUUUUAGUCAUCGACACUGACAGGCUGUUAUCUAGUGGAUGAAAGUAAGAACAGGAAGCUGGAGUGAAACAAAACUCCAAACAGACAGAUUUGCUCAUGACUGCUCAUCAGUCACACAAAACUCCUGACACACAAAGCUACAGCUAAAGCAUGAAAUGUUGAGAGAGGAUGAGGAGGAAAUACAGAGAGAGAGAGAGAGACUGAACAACACAGAAUUAAAAACAAACAACUAAAGGAAAAAGAAACUAAAGAAACGGGGGAAAGAUAGAUGAGGUGUGUGUUAAUAUGAGGGCAGACCCAGCAGGUCACCUCCAGCCUGUCUCCUCUAACGCCUCCUCUCCCAGCUUGAGGUGACCUUCACUGGGCAGCGCAGUCCCACCGGGGGACACGAGGUAAAUAAAGCACCGCUGAGCCACAGCCCAGAUAACAACAUGGUUGCUGUGGAUCUCUUCAUUAAAAAAGAGGAGAGGUUUGGAGCCACAGUGUUUACUACAGUGAGAAGAGACAGAGACGAGGAGUGAAAAUGUUAAAGGAGGGAGGUUUCUUUGUGAACAGUGGGUCGCAUUCAGAAAAUGUCACUCUGCAAAAUGUCACACCUCCCUCUUCAUCCUCGUCCUCCUCCUCCUCCUCCUCCUCCUGUCUGAGCUCAGCAGAUUGUCUGUGCCAGGACGAACUGAAGCCUCACAAAAGGUCAGAUUUUUCCUUUUCCUUCCUCAAACAGAUGCGUAUUGUUGUUGGAGGAGGAAAGUAACGUGGCAGGCCAGAGUGGGUUUAAGUGUAUAUGAGUAUUUCAGAUGGAAAAAUGACGUUUCAGAUCUGUCGUUUCAGUUUUCACACAUCAGUUUGUUUGAGGAAGCUAAUUAUUUUGCAGGGAGAGGAUCAGAGAUGGAGGCCACUGAUGAGAAGUGAAAUAAACAGAGAGGGAUUAGGAAGACUGUGGGUGUAAUGAAACUGUUCCCUGUUGUUGCAGAGAGGCAUAAGCUGAACGUUUUGUAAGAGACAAUAUGAAACAGAUGAGGACGGUUUCAUUUUCUCAAAAGACGACGCAGCUUCAUAAUGUUUAGACUAGGACUGAUUGAUUUUCUGUUGAAUCAUUGACUGUCUUACAUUCAAAUUCCCAAAACUGAUCUUUGCAACUCCACCUUCAACUGCUUCCUGUGCCCAUUUUGGUGUACAAUAUACAAGGAAAAUGUGUGAACAAUUAAGAUAAAAAUUAACAUUUUAAUUAAUUUAUAUUCAAAAGUAUAGUACUUUGCUUGUUGGCAGAAUAAAUUCACUUUUAGCUCUUCCAAAUUUUGCAGUUUUGUUGUUUCAGUGCCGAUAUCCAGCCCUGGUUAUCAAUAAAAGCUACUCUAAACGA